This 446-nucleotide ribosomal RNA is filed under the name uncultured bacterium. RNAcentral's name for it is "partial 16S ribosomal RNA". It matches the Rfam family "Bacterial small subunit ribosomal RNA", at positions 338 to 795 of the family's 1533-position model. The record is from RNAcentral.
CCUACGGGAGGCAGCAGUCGAGAAUCAUUCACAAUGGGGGAAACCCUGAUGGUGCGACGCCGCGUGGGGGAAUGAAGGUCUUCGGAUUGUAAACCCCUGUCAUGUGGGAGCAAAUUAAAAAGAUAGUACCCCAAGAGGAAGAGACGGCUAACUCUGUGCCAGCAGCCGCGGUAAUACAGAGGUCUCAAGCGUUGUUCGGAAUCACUGGGCGUAAAGCGUGCGUAGGCUGUUUCGUAAGUCGUGUGUGAAAGGCGCGGGCUCAACCCGCGGACGGCACAUGAUACUGGGAGACUAGAGUAAUGGAGGGGGAACCGGAAGUCGCGGUGUAGCAGUGAAAUGCGUAGAUAUCGAGAGGAACACUCGUGGCGAAGGCGGGUUCCUGGACAUUAACUGACGCUGAGGCACGAAGGCCAGGGGAGCGAAAGGGAUUAGAUACCCGUGUAGUC